CUCUAUUGCCAUCUACCAGAAAGUAAACAUAAAAGCUUACGAUGACUACCAUGUGAUUAAAUGUUGACAUUAGAUGUUGUACCCUUGACAGCAUACAACUUGCACACCAUGCAUGGUGACCCUAGGCUCACACAUCGUAUACAAGAAACACACGAUUUGCCUAGAUGAACUUUGGAAAUGAAGGCUGAUUCCAACACAGAAGCGAACUCUUCUUUAUCCAGCUUUCAUCAGUUAGGAGGAUUGCCUUCUCUCAGAGUAGUCUUCUUGAAGCUCUCUCUUGCCCUCAUGAGAUGACACUAAGGAUCAUGUGAAAGCUCUCCCUGAGGAAAGAUUAAGAAGAGAUGAGUUAAAGCUGCAAAUACCAAGAUUUAAGGUUAAGUAUGAAGAAUUUCCUGAUACAGAAACUUCUUUAGCACUGGACUUGAAUAUCAAGACUCUUUCCCCAACAUUGACCUCCAAACAAACUUUGCUGGGUUGUUCAAACCGCUUUGUUUCCUGUAAGUGUUCAUUGAUCUCUGUGAGUGGAUGAUGGUUGAUUACACACUUUGUCCGUGAUUAAACUAGGAAACUUCUUUUCAAAAGAUUCAGUAUAAUUUCUCUUUCCAUGGAUAUAUGCAAUUAUAUAGUGAUUUUAACCUAUAUAGACCAAGAUAAUUUUGUGAUCCAAAUGGUCAGGUGUCAUAUUUAAAAAAUAUAUGCAUAUAGUUUAAAGCAAUUAAAUAUCCUUACUCGGUUUCUUAGGCGGAUAUGUAAGAGUAGCAGCUGGUCCUGAGGGUCCAUCUUCUAUGGCUCUUUCACGUGUCUGUGUGUUUUGUGAAGCAAAGCAUCGACUUCCCCUUGUUCUAAACUAUCUUUUGAACGAUGCUUGUAUAGUAUAAUUAACAGCUUUGGACAAUAGAGAUUGUAUCUCCCUCUGGAACAGGGGUGUCUGAUCUUUUGGCUUCCCUGGGCCACAUUGGAAGAAGAAUUGUCUUGUGCCACAUAUAAAACAUACUCACUAUAGCUGAUGAGCUAAAAAAAAAAUCGCAAAAAACCCUUAUAAUGUUUUAAGAAAGUUUACCAAUUUGUGUUGGGUUGCAUUCAAAGCCAUUCUAGUCCACGUGCAGCCCGUGGGCUGCAGGUUGGACAAGCUUGCUCUAAAACAAAGGGCAGAUUUUCUUAUUGUUUUGUGUGGUAGGCAGUAUAAUGGCUCCCCGAAGAUGUCCAGAGCUUAAUCCCAGGAACCUGUGAAUAUGUUACCUUGCAUAACAAAUGAAAAUUUAUGUUACAGAUGAAAUUAAGAACGCUGAUCAGCUAAAGGACCUUCACAUACAAAGGUUAUCCUGGGUUAUUCAGGUGGGCUCAGUGUAAUCACAGGCAUCCUUUAAAGUGGAAGAGUGAGUUCAGCGUGAUGUGAUGUGAAAAGGACUCAAUUUGCCUUUGCUAGUUUUGAAGAUGGAAGAAUGGGGCUAUGGUCCAAGGCAUGCUGGUGACCUCUAGAAGCUAAAACAUUAACAAAAUGGAAAAGAAAUUUUAGUGCAGUGAGGCCC
RNAcentral lists this long non-coding RNA (1529 nucleotides) under Piliocolobus tephrosceles (Ugandan red Colobus). RNAcentral describes it as "lncRNA (ENSPTEG00000021109.1)". The record is from RNAcentral. Lineage: Eukaryota; Metazoa; Chordata; Mammalia; Primates; Cercopithecidae.